Amphiprion ocellaris (clown anemonefish) is the source of this 1355-nucleotide long non-coding RNA. NCBI's taxonomy places the organism in Eukaryota, Metazoa, Chordata, Actinopteri, Pomacentridae. The record is from Ensembl.
GAAUUUUGGCGCAAAAAAAAACGCCUUACUAUACUAUGUCGAAAAAAAAUGCGAUUUUUCAAACGUUGUAAAAACGUACCAUGUGAUGAAAUAAUGUAAAGGAGGCUGUGAAAAACACUCCAGAAAGGUUUUCUUUGAAAAAAAAAAUCAUCAUGAAUUUUGGCGCAAAAAAAACGCCUUACUAUACUAUGUCGAAAAAAAAUGCCAUUUUUCAAACAUGUUGUAAAAUCGUGCCAUAUGAUGAAAUAAUGUAAAGGAGGCCGUGAAAAAUGCUCCAGAAAGGUUUUCUUUGAAAAAAAAACAUCAUGAAUUUUGGCGCAAAAAAAAUGCCUUACUAUACUAUGUCGAAAAAAAAUGCCAUUUUUCAAACAUGUGGUAAAAACGUGACAUAUGAUGAAAUAAUGUAAAGGAGGCCAUGAAAAACACUCCAGAAAGGUUUUCUUUGAAAAAAAAUCAUCAUGAAUUUUGGCGCAAAAAAAAACGCCUUACUAUACUAUGUCGAAAAAAAAUGCGAUUUUUCAAACGUUGUAAAAACGUACCAUGUGAUGAAAUAAUGUAAAGGAGGCUGUGAAAAACACUCCAGAAAGGUUUUCUUUGAAAAAAAAAAUCAUCAUGAAUUUUGGCGCAAAAAAAACGCCUUACUAUACUAUGUCGAAAAAAAAUGCCAUUUUUCAAACAUGUUGUAAAAACGUACCAUGUGAUGAAAUAAUGUAAAGGAGGCCGUGAAAAAUACUCCAGAAAGGUUUUCUUUGAAAAAAAAAAAUCAUCAUGAAUUUUGGCGCAAAAAAACGCCUUACUAUACUAUGUUGAAAAAAAAUGAGAUUUUUCAAACAUGUUGUGAAAACGUGCCAUAUGAUGAAAUAAUGUAAAGGAGGGCAUGAAAAACACUCCAGAAAGGUUUUCUUUGAAAAAAAAAUCAUCAUAAAUUUUGGUGCAAAAAAAACGCCUUACUAUACUAUGUCGAAAAAAAAUGCGAUUUUUCAAACGUGGUAAAAACGUGCCAUAUGAUGAAAUAAUGUAAAGGAGGGCAUGAAAAACACUCCAGAAAGGUUUUCUUUGAAAAAAAAAUCAUCAUAAAUUUUGGCGCAAAAAAAACGCCUUACUAUACUAUGUCGAAAAAAAAUGCGAUUUUUCAAACGUGGUAAAAACAUGCCAUAUGAUGAAAUAAUGUAAAGGAGGCCGUGAAAAACACUCCAGAAAGGUUUUCUUUGAAAAAAAAAAAUCAUAAAUUUUGGCGCAAAAAAAAACGCCUUACUAUACUAUGUCGAAAAAAAAUGUGAUUUUUCAAACAUGUGGUAAAAACAUGCCAUAUGAUGAAAUAAUGUAAAGGAGGCCGUGAAAAAUACUCCAGAAAG